Molecule: ribosomal RNA, 497 nt
Filed under: uncultured bacterium
Lineage: Bacteria
Description: partial 16S ribosomal RNA
Rfam family: Bacterial small subunit ribosomal RNA
Source: RNAcentral
GAUGAACGCUGGCGGCGUGCCUAAUACAUGCAAGUCGAGCGAACAGACGAUGAGCUUGCUCCCCUGACGUUAGCGGCGGACGGGUGAGUAACACGUGGAUAACCUACCUAUAUGACUGGGAUAACUUCGGGAAACCGGAGCUAAUACCAGAUAAUAUAUUCAACCGCAUGGUUCAAUAGUUAAAGACGGUUUUGCUGUCACUUAUAGAUGGAUCCGCGCCGCAUUAGCUAGUUGGUAAGGUAACGGCUUACCAAGGCAACGAUGCGUAGCCGACCUGAGAGGGUGAUCGGCCACACUGGAACUGAGACACGGUCCAGACUCCUACGGGAGGCAGCAGUAGGGAAUCUUGCGCAAUGGGCGAAAGCCUGAUGGAGCAACGCCGCGUGAGUGAUGAAGGUCUUCGGAUUGUAAAACUCUGUUAUUAGGGAAGAACAAAUGUGUAAGUAACUAUGCAUGUCUUGACGGUACCUAAUCAGAAAGCAACGGCUAACUACGUG